Long non-coding RNA from Haliotis rubra (blacklip abalone), 590 nucleotides. RefSeq lists it as uncharacterized. NCBI's taxonomy places the organism in Eukaryota, Metazoa, Mollusca, Gastropoda, Lepetellida, Haliotidae. The record is from RefSeq and is a predicted model, not a curated record. The transcript has 4 exons.
AUAAAGGCAGGAGUUAGCUCCCUUCCCGGAUGUUUUUGUUGUGCAAUAAAACUAACUAUAUAAGUCAUGGCGAUUUCGGCUUUGUUCAUUUUCAUUCUGAUUCACAAUGCCAACCAAAGAAAGAACACAGAGGGAAAGAGAAGAAGCUGUGAAGGCUGAAGCAAGGAAGUGUCGUCGACUCCUGGAUUUCUUCGCGCCAAACAGACCCGAUGUAGAAGAUUCAGAACUUGUUUGCUAUGACAUUGACAAGUGGUUGUCAUCCAGUGGCCCAGCUCCUCAAACAACUCAGAAGAAGAAAGAUGCAGGUCACAAGCUUGUCUUCGAUACCAAGUGGAAACAAGGUCGCCCCCGUGUGGCCAAGUUCUUGGCACGAAAGAAGAGGAGAAUAUGAACGAAUAAUUUUAUGAACUUACAUCAAAGCAUGCCAAACAGACCCAAAUGAUGUCAGCCACAGUAAAUUACUGAACCUUAAUUGUUGUGCUUUUUUGUUUGCUGAAUGCACUUUUGAAUUUUAAAGUGCCCUUUUUUCUCUGAGUCUACCCUGCCCUUUCAUAAUCCUGGGGGAAACACUAGAGGUGGUAAGGAAGUGC